Long non-coding RNA from Meriones unguiculatus (Mongolian gerbil), 529 nucleotides. RefSeq lists it as uncharacterized. Lineage: Eukaryota; Metazoa; Chordata; Mammalia; Rodentia; Muridae. The record is from RefSeq and is a predicted model, not a curated record. The transcript has 3 exons.
CAGAGCGUACUGCCAGAUCAAGGUCUUCUGCGACAAGGGAGCAGAAAGAAAAAUCCGAGAUGAAGAGAGAAAGCAGAAUAGGAAGAAAGGGAAGGGCCAGGCCUCCCAAACCCAGUGCAACAACUCCUCUGACGGGAAGCUGGCCGCCAUACCUUUACAGAAGAAAAGUGACAUCACGUACUUCAAAACCAUGCCUGACCUGCACUCGCAGCCCGUGCUCUUCAUACCAGAUGUUCACUUUGCCAACCUGCAGAGGACUGGACAGGUACUACUUUUGCUCACAGCCUCCUACUGCCCUCCUCAGGGUGUGCUGGUGUGUACGCAGAACAGGCCACAAAAAUAAACUCAAGCAGCAGGGGAAUGGCAACACAAAAAGUAGGUUUUUACAGAAAACAUUGUCUUGGGAGGAAAUACUGGCAUGCUAAGGCAAAGAAAGGUGUGAGCUGUUAUUAGAACAUUGUUGACAACAGGACAGGAGAAAGCUCCUCAUCUGCCUGUUCAAGUUGUGGUGUCUGUGAAGCAGACUCGG